AACGAACGCUGGCGGCGUGCCUAAUACAUGCAAGUCGAACGAAGCUGUUUUAACUGGUGCUUGCACCGACUUAAACAACUGAGUGGCGAACGGGUGAGUAACACGUGGGUAGCCUGCCCCAAAGCGGGGGAUAACAUUUGGAAACAGAUGCUAAUACCGCAUAACCACAGAAACCACAUGGUUUCUGUGUCAAAGAUGGUUGCGGCUAUCACUUUGGGAUGGACCCGCGGCGUAUUAGCUAGUUGGUAAGGUAAUGGCUUACCAAGGCAAUGGUACGUAGCCGAACUGAGAGGUUGAUCGGCCACACUGGGAAUGAGACACGGCCCAAACUGGUACGGGAGGCAGCAGUAGGGAAUCUUCACAGUGGACGGAAGUCUGAUGGAGCAACGCCGCGUGAGUGAAGAAGGUUUUCGGAUCGUAAAACUCUGUUGUCAGAGAAGAACGUGUGCGAGAGUAACUGUUCGUGCAGUGACGGUAUCUGGCCAGAAAGCCACGGCUAACUACGUACCAGCCGCCGCUGUAA
This 523-nucleotide ribosomal RNA is filed under the name uncultured bacterium. RNAcentral describes it as "partial 16S ribosomal RNA". It matches the Rfam family "Bacterial small subunit ribosomal RNA", at positions 29 to 523 of the family's 1533-position model. The record is from RNAcentral.